CGUAGAUAUAUGGAAGAACACCAGUGGCGAAGGCGGCUGUCUGGUCUGCAACUGACGCUGAGGCUCGAAAGCAUGGGUAGCGAACAGGAUUAGAUACCCUGGUAGUCCAUGCCGUAAACGAUGAGUGCUAGGUGUUGGAGGGUUUCCGCCCUUCAGUGCCGCAGCUAACGCAUUAAGCACUCCGCCUGGGGAGUACGACCGCAAGGUUGAAACUCAAAGGAAUUGACGGGGGCCCGCACAAGCGGUGGAGCAUGUGGUUUAAUUCGAAGCUACGCGAAGAACCUUACCAGGUCUUGACAUCUUGCGCCAACCCUAGAGAUAGGGCGUUUCCUUCGGGAACGCAAUGACAGGUGGUGCAUGGUCGUCGUCAGCUCGUGUCGUGAGAUGUUGGGUUAAGUCCCGCAACGAGCGCAACCCUUGUUACUAGUUGCCAGCAUUCAGUUGGGCACUCUAGUGAGACUGCCGGUGACAAACCGGAGGAAGGUGGGGACGACGUCAGAUCAUCAUGCCCCUUAUGACCUGGGCUACACACGUGCUACAAUGGACGGUACAACGAGUCGCGAACUCGCGAGGGCAAGCUAAUCUCUUAAAACCGUUCUCAGUUCGGACUGCAGGCUGCAACUCGCCUGCACGAAGUCGGAAUCGCUAGUAAUCGCGGAUCAGCAUGCCGCGGUGAAUACGUUCCCGGGCCUUGUACACACCGCCCGUCACACCAUGAGAGUUUGCAACACCCAAAGUCGGUGGGGUAACCCUUCGGGGAGCUAGCCGCCUAAGGUGGGGCAGAUGAUUA
This 790-nucleotide ribosomal RNA is filed under the name Lactobacillus sp. NIR2. RNAcentral describes it as "bacterial SSU rRNA". It matches the Rfam family "Bacterial small subunit ribosomal RNA", at positions 689 to 1477 of the family's 1533-position model. The record is from RNAcentral. Lineage: Bacteria; Bacillati; Bacillota; Bacilli; Lactobacillales; Lactobacillaceae.